AGUGAACGCUGGCGGUAGGCCUAACACAUGCAAGUCGAACGGCAGCACAGUAAGAGCUUGCUCUUACGGGUGGCGAGUGGCGGACGGGUGAGGAAUACAUCGGAAUCUACUUUUUCGUGGGGGAUAACGUAGGGAAACUUACGCUAAUACCGCAUACGACCUACGGGUGAAAGCAGGGGAUCUUCGGACCUUGCGCGAUUGAAUGAGCCGAUGUCGGAUUAGCUAGUUGGCGGGGUAAAGGCCCACCAAGGCGACGAUCCGUAGCUGGUCUGAGAGGAUGGAUCGGCACACCGGGAACUGGGACACGGUCCAGACACCAACGGAAGGCAGAGUGGGGGAAUAUGGAAAAAUGGGCGAAAGCCUGUUCAAGCCAUACCGGGUGGGUGAAGAGGGCCUUCGGGUUGUAAAGCCCUUUUGUGGGGAAAGAAAGGCAGCAGUUUAAAACCCGCUGUUCUGACGGUACCCAAAGAAUAAGCACCGGCUAACUUCGUG
This 492-nucleotide ribosomal RNA is filed under the name uncultured bacterium. RNAcentral's name for it is "partial 16S ribosomal RNA". It matches the Rfam family "Bacterial small subunit ribosomal RNA", at positions 29 to 507 of the family's 1533-position model. The record is from RNAcentral.